GGUUAGCACUCAAGGGAGAAAGAAAGUGUGUGUGUGUGUAUGUGUGUGUGUGCACUUUGUUAAAUCAAAUCUCAUAAAUGAUCCAAAGCAGAAAUUACUCAGUACCAAGAGGGGUACUGGGAGUGCAGAAUAAGUAUAAACUGCUUCCCGAUUUAAGGGCAGUGAGAUGAUGGGGGAACUGUGGAAGUCCAGGGAUCCAUGGAGAUUUUGUAAAGAAGGUGCUACUGCAGCCACACACGAAGGACAGCCAGCAUCUAGACACCAACAUGACCAAUGAAAAAAAUGGAGGAGCAGGGGCAUAGAGGCUGGAAGGCAGAACUGUGAGCAGAGACCACCUGAUGGAGCAUCUCAUACUCAAGGGAAGCAGUAGAUGAUGAAAUGGAAAGAUACAUUGCUGCCUGGUCAUGG
Molecule: long non-coding RNA, 408 nt
Filed under: Marmota monax (woodchuck)
Lineage: Eukaryota; Metazoa; Chordata; Mammalia; Rodentia; Sciuridae
Source: RNAcentral